UUCCGGUUGAUCCUGCCGGACCCGACUGCUAUUUGGGUGAGGAUAAGCCAUGCGAGUUGAAUGGGAAACCUAAAGUUCCCAUGGCAAACUGCUCAAUAACACAUGAUCAACUUACCCUAUAGAGAAAAAUAACCUCGGGAAACUGAGGAUAAUGUUUCAUAGUUGAAUUGGCUUGGAAAAGUUUUUCGACGAAAGGGGUAAAAAAAAUGGUUUUUAUCUGCUAUAGGAUAGGAUCGUGUUCGAUUAUGGUUGUUGGUGAGGUAAUGGCUCACCAAGCCGAUAAUCGAUAGGGGCCGUGAGAGCGGGAGCCCCGAGAUGGGUACUGAGACAACGACCCAGGCCUUACGAGGCGCAGCAGGCGCGAAACCUCCGCAAUACACGAAAGUGUGACGGGGUUACCCAAAGUGUUCAAUUUUGAACUGUGGUAGGUGAGUAAUGUUCCCUACUAGAAAGGAGAGGGCAAGGCUGGUGCCAGCCGCCGCGGUAAAACCAGCUCUUCAAGUGGUCGGGAUAAUUAUUGGGCUUAAAGUGUCCGUAGCCGGUUUAGUAAGUUCCUGGUAAAAUCGGGUAGCUUAACUAUCUAUAUGCUAGGAAUACUACUAUACUAGAGGGCGGGAGAGGUCUGAGGUACUGCAGGGGUAGGGGUGAAAUCUUAUAAUCCUUGUUGGACCACCAGUGGCGAAGGCGUCAGACUGGAACGCGCCUGACGGUGAGGGACGAAAGCCAGGGGAGCGAACCGGAUUAGAUACCCGGGUAGUCCUGGCCGUAAACGAUGCAUACUAGGUGAUGGCACGGCCAUGAGCCGUGUCAGUGCCGUAGGGAAACCGUUAAGUGUGCCGCCUGGGAAAUACGGUCGCAAGGCUAAACUUAAAGAAUUGCGGGGAGCACCACAAGGGUGAGCCUGCGAUCAUUGCUCAACGC
RNAcentral lists this ribosomal RNA (921 nucleotides) under uncultured archaeon. RNAcentral's name for it is "bacterial SSU rRNA". It matches the Rfam family "Archaeal small subunit ribosomal RNA", at positions 1 to 919 of the family's 1478-position model. The record is from RNAcentral.